AACAAGCUUCAGCGACCCAUCAUCGUCUCUCUCUUUCGCAGUUCAUGACUACUACCUAGUUGUCUCAUCGCUUAAACCCUAGAACUUAAAAAUUGCAGGGAAAUCAAAAUGUGAAGAACAAGUUUACAUCUUUAGGGGAUUUAGAUUGAGAUCGGCAGGCCUAUUUCUCCUCUUGCUACUUCUGUUGUUAUCCAUCAAUGCUUCAGCUGCUCUACCCUGCGAUUACAAUCGGUGGAAAACUGGAAACUGCUACAGCACAGGCGCUUGCAUUUGUAAUCUCCCCGAUCCUUCCACCAUCUUUGAGGGCAAUCAACCAUUCUUUGGGGGAGGUUUUGCGAUGAGGAGCAGACCAUGUGUGAUGGGACUAAUUCGUUCUGGUGUGAAUAGGGGUGAUCUGCGACGAGAUAGUUCAUGAGGUUAAUUAUACCUGUAAGUGCCUCAGGUUACUGAUUUAAUACUUCAGUAGAUGAAUGAAUCUCCAAAGACCUACCUUGUACUUGCUUUUUUAUUUUUCUGGCAAUGGCAUUUGUGUAACCAUGCAAUGUGGUUGGGAUAUUCUCUAGUAAGCUGAGUAUGAAGAAAUUUUGAUAGAAACAUUCUGUUAUCAUACCUGUUUCUAUAUAUAACUCUGUUUAUCUUUUGAGCC
Macadamia integrifolia is the source of this 646-nucleotide long non-coding RNA. RefSeq lists it as uncharacterized. NCBI's taxonomy places the organism in Eukaryota, Viridiplantae, Streptophyta, Magnoliopsida, Proteales, Proteaceae. The record is from RefSeq and is a predicted model, not a curated record. The transcript is spliced from 2 exons.